Molecule: ribosomal RNA, 253 nt
Filed under: uncultured bacterium
Lineage: Bacteria
Description: partial 16S ribosomal RNA
Rfam family: Bacterial small subunit ribosomal RNA
Source: RNAcentral
UACAGAGGAUGCAAGCGUUAUCCGGAAUGAUUGGGCGUAAAGGGUGCGUAGGCGGUUCGUUAAGUCUGUUGUGAAAUCCCCGGGCUCAACCUGGGAAUGGCAAUGGAUACUGGCGGGCUAGAGUGUGUCAGAGGAUGGUGGAAUUCCCGGUGUAGCGGUGAAAUGUGUAGAGAUCGGGAGGAACAUCAGUGGCGAAGGCGGCCAUCUGGGACAACACUGACGCUGAAGCACGAAAGCGUGGGGAGCAAACAGG